GAGGACGAACGCUGGCGGCGUGCUUAACACAUGCAAGUCGAACGGUAAGGCCCUUCGGGGUACACGAGUGGCGAACGGGUGAGUAACACGUGGGUGAUCUGCCCUGCACUUUGGGAUAAGCCUGGGAAACUGGGUCUAAUACCGAAUAGGACCAUGGACUUCACGGUUUGUGGUGGAAAGCUUUUGCGGUGUGGGAUGGGCCCGCGGCCUAUCAGCUUGUUGGUGGGGUAAUGGCCUACCAAGGCGACGACGGGUAGCCGGCCUGAGAGGGUGACCGGCCACACUGGGACUGAGAUACGGCCCAGACUCCUACGGGAGGCAGCAGUGGGGAAUAUUGCACAAUGGGCGCAAGCCUGAUGCAGCGACGCCGCGUGAGGGAUGACGGCCUUCGGGUUGUAAACCUCUUUCAGCGCAGACGAAGCGCAAGUGACGGUAUGUGCAGAAGAAGGACCGGCCAACUACGUG
This 465-nucleotide ribosomal RNA is filed under the name uncultured bacterium. Its description in RNAcentral is "bacterial SSU rRNA". It matches the Rfam family "Bacterial small subunit ribosomal RNA", at positions 26 to 507 of the family's 1533-position model. The record is from RNAcentral.